GAUGAACGCUGGCGGCGUGCCUAAUACAUGCAAGUCGAGCGAACAGACGAGGAGCUUGCUUCUCUGACGUUAGCGGCGGACGGGUGAGUAACACGUGGAUAACCUACCUAUAAGACUGGGAUAACUUCGGGAAACCGUAGCUAAUACCGGAUAAUAUUUUGAACCGCAUGGUUCAAUAGUGAAAGACGGUUUUGCUGUCACUUAUAGAUGGAUCCGCGCCGCAUUAGCUAGUUGGUAAGGUAACGGCUUACCAAGGCAACGAUGCGUAGCCGACCUGAGAGGGUGAUCGGCCACACUGGAACUGAGACACGGUCCAGACUCCUACGGGAGGCAGCAGUAGGGAAUCUUCCGCAAUGGGCGAAAGCCUGACGGAGCAACGCCGCGUGAGUGAUGAAGGUCUUCGGAUCGUAAAACUCUGUUAUUAGGGAAGAACAAAUGUGUAAGUAACUAUGCACGUCUUGACGGUACCUAAUCAGAAAGCCACGGCUAACUACGUG
RNAcentral lists this ribosomal RNA (497 nucleotides) under uncultured bacterium. RNAcentral describes it as "partial 16S ribosomal RNA". It matches the Rfam family "Bacterial small subunit ribosomal RNA", at positions 28 to 507 of the family's 1533-position model. The record is from RNAcentral.